This is a non-coding RNA of Arabis alpina (gray rockcress), 89 nucleotides long. Lineage: Eukaryota; Viridiplantae; Streptophyta; Magnoliopsida; Brassicales; Brassicaceae. The record is from Rfam.
AUUCCAUGAUGUGGGCAGCUUCUAGUGUACCCCUUUAAACGCUCCCAAGUUUCACUUAAGGAUUCCUGGUUGCCUUCACUUCUGAAUUU